RNAcentral lists this ribosomal RNA (462 nucleotides) under uncultured bacterium. Its description in RNAcentral is "partial 16S ribosomal RNA". It matches the Rfam family "Bacterial small subunit ribosomal RNA", at positions 28 to 507 of the family's 1533-position model. The record is from RNAcentral.
GACGAACGCUGGCGGCGUGCUUAACACAUGCAAGUCGAGCGGAACGGCCCUUCGUGGUGCUCGACCGGCGAACGGGUGAGUCACACGUGCCUAACCUGCCCCAGACUUUGGGAUAACCCUCGGAAACGGAGUCUAAUACCGGAUCCGACACAGCUACGCAUAGGGCCCGUGUGGAUAGUUUUUCGGCUUGGGAUGGGCUUGCGGGCUAUCAGCUCGUUGGUGGGGUGGUGGCCUACCAAGGCUGCGACGGGGAGCCGGCCUGCGAGGGCGACCGGCCAGACUGGGACUGAGAGAGGGACGAGACUCAUACGGACGGCAGCAGGGAGGAAGAUUGCACCAUGGGCGGAAGCAAGAUGGAGCGACGCCGGGUGCGGGAUGACGGACUUCGGGUUGGAAGCCAAUUUCAGCUGGGAGGAAGCGUAAGUGACGGUACCUGCAGAAGAAGCGCCGGCUAACUACGUG